RNAcentral lists this non-coding RNA (27 nucleotides) under Homo sapiens (human). The record is from RNAcentral. Lineage: Eukaryota; Metazoa; Chordata; Mammalia; Primates; Hominidae.
UGUAUCUCCUUCAGUUCUGCUCUGAUC